GGGCGAACGACCUGUGUCC
RNAcentral lists this non-coding RNA (19 nucleotides) under Arabidopsis thaliana (thale cress). Lineage: Eukaryota; Viridiplantae; Streptophyta; Magnoliopsida; Brassicales; Brassicaceae. The record is from RNAcentral.